This 438-nucleotide ribosomal RNA is filed under the name Triticum aestivum (bread wheat). Its description in RNAcentral is "partial small subunit ribosomal RNA". Lineage: Eukaryota; Viridiplantae; Streptophyta; Magnoliopsida; Poales; Poaceae. The record is from RNAcentral.
AUGCCGUAUGUUCAGGCCCCCGAUGAUUCCACCCAAUUUCCAACGCAUAAUUCUGGACCGCAAGAAAACCGGACCUCUGAUUUACAUACAGGUAUGAUGUUCAUUAUUACUUUGUUAUCUACUCGGCAAACAUUGUUUAGUUCCUUUUUUAUCGAGCGUAUCCGGUAUGAUAGUGUGGUUCAGUCAUCAUCAUUUUAUGAUACCAUUUUUAUUAAUAUUUUUGUUAUUAAGCAUAACAAAAUUUCUUUAUCAUCAAGGUCAUCUUGUGCUCUCUGGAUGUUAAAUUUCAUGGAGUACUUCACGGGAGAUAGUUUGUCCGACACUCCCGAACAGGUAUAUUUUGCAUCGUAUCAUGAUACUAAUUAUUUUGUGUUGUAUCAUUAUUUGAAAACUAAGUCUUAUUACUACUUCACUUUAGGUUCACAUGACAUAUUUUAG